CUACGGAACUCCUACGGGAGGCAGCAGUGGGGAAUAUUGCACAAUGGGGGAAACCCUGAUGCAGCGACGCAGCGUGCGGGAUGACGGCCUUCGGGUUGUAAGCCGCUUUCAGCAGGGAAGAAGCCCUUCGGGGUGACGGUACCUGCAGAAGAAGUACCGGCUAACUACGUGCCAGCAGCCGCGGUAAUACGUAGGGUACAAGCGUUGUCCGGAAUUAUUGGGCGUAAAGAGCUCGUAGGCGGUUUGUCGCGUCUGCUGUGAAAACGCAAGGCUUAACCUUGCGCCUGCAGUGGGUACGGGCAGACUAGAGUGCGGUAGGGGAGACUGGAAUUCCUGGUGUAGCGGUGGAAUGCGCAGAUAUCAGGAGGAACACCGAUGGCGAAGGCAGGUCUCUGGGCCGUUACUGACGCUGAGGAGCGAAAGCAUGGGGAGCGAACAGGAUUAGAAACCCUUGUAGUCCUCUUCGA
This 467-nucleotide ribosomal RNA is filed under the name uncultured bacterium. Its description in RNAcentral is "bacterial SSU rRNA". It matches the Rfam family "Bacterial small subunit ribosomal RNA", at positions 328 to 803 of the family's 1533-position model. The record is from RNAcentral.